GCAUGCCAUUGAAUUUUAGAUUCGAAGACAUCUUUUCACAUGACUUUUUUUAGAGAGUGGUUUCAUACAUACAAACUAUGGAAAGGUGGAGUUAUCUAUUUGGGUAAUAAUACAACAUGUCCCUGAUUGGAGUGGGAGAUGUUUGGAUCAAAAUGUUUGAUGGUAUAGUUCUGAUGGUUUCUAAUGUAUGGCAUAUUUUUGUACUUCGCGAGAGUCUACUAUCAUUUGAAAUAUUUUGUAAGUAAGGCUUGAAGUUUACCGAAGAGAAAGAUCAACUGAAGGUGUGCAAAGGGUGUUUGGUGGUG
RNAcentral lists this long non-coding RNA (305 nucleotides) under Elaeis guineensis (African oil palm). RNAcentral describes it as "long non-coding RNA (EGUI_LNC037225)". The record is from RNAcentral. Lineage: Eukaryota; Viridiplantae; Streptophyta; Magnoliopsida; Arecales; Arecaceae.